AACGCGUUGGCCCAACUGAUUGAACGUGCUUGCACGGACUUGACGUUGGUUUACCAGCGAGUGGUGGACGGGUGAGUAACACGUAGGUAACCUGCCCCAAAGCGGGGGAUAACAUUUGGAAACAGAUGCUAAUACCGCAUAACAAUUUGAAUCGCAUGAUUCAAAUUUAAAAGAUGGCUUCGGCUAUCACUUUGGGAUGGACCUGCGGCGCAUUAGCUUGUUGGUAGGGUAACGGCCUACCAAGGCUGUGAUGCGUAGCCGAGUUGAGAGACUGAUCGGCCACAAUGGAACUGAGACACGGUCCAUACUCCUACGGGAGGCAGCAGUAGGGAAUCUUCCACAAUGGGCGCAAGCCUGAUGGAGCAACACCGCGUGAGUGAAGAAGGGUUUCGGCUCGUAAAGCUCUGUUGUUAGAGAAGAACGUGCGUGAGAGCAACUGUUCACGCAGUGACGGUAUCUAACCAGAAAGUCACGGCUAACUACGUGCCAGCAGCCGCGGUAAUACGUAGGUGGUAAGCGUUAUCCGGAUUUAUUGGGCGUAAAGCGAGCGCAGGCGGUUUGAUAAGUCUGAUGUGAAAGCCUUUGGCUUAACCAAAGAAGUGCAUCGGAAACUGUCAGACUUGAGUGCAGAAGAGGACAGUGGAACUCCAUGUGUAGCGGUGGAAUGCGUAGAUAUAUGGAAGAACACCAGUGGCG
This 696-nucleotide ribosomal RNA is filed under the name uncultured Bacilli bacterium. Its description in RNAcentral is "bacterial SSU rRNA". It matches the Rfam family "Bacterial small subunit ribosomal RNA", at positions 52 to 717 of the family's 1533-position model. The record is from RNAcentral. Lineage: Bacteria; Bacillati; Bacillota; Bacilli.